AGUAAAUAGAUACCCUGGUAGUCCACGCCGUAAACGAUGUCGACUUGGAGGUUGUGCCUUGAGGCGUGGCUUCCGGAGCUAAACGCGUUAAGUCGACCGCCUGGGGAGUACGGCCGCAAGGUUAAAACUCAAAUGAAUUGACGGGGGCCCGCACAAGCGGUGGAGCAUGUGGUUUAAUUCGAUGCAACGCGAAGAACCUUACCUACUCUUGACAUCCAGAGAACUUAGCAGAGAUGCUUUGGUGCCUUCGGGAACUCUGAGACAGGUGCUGCAUGGCUGUCGUCAGCUCGUGUUGUGAAAUGUUGGGUUAAGUCCCGCAACGAGCGCAACCCUUAUCCUUUGUUGCCAGCGGUUAGGCCGGGAACUCAAAGGAGACUGCCAGUGAUAAACUGGAGGAAGGUGGGGAUGACGUCAAGUCAUCAUGGCCCUUACGAGUAGGGCUACACACGUGCUACAAUGGCGCAUACAAAGAGAAGCGACCUCGCGAGAGCAAGCGGACCUCAUAAAGUGCGUCGUAGU
RNAcentral lists this ribosomal RNA (519 nucleotides) under uncultured bacterium. RNAcentral describes it as "bacterial SSU rRNA". It matches the Rfam family "Bacterial small subunit ribosomal RNA", at positions 774 to 1292 of the family's 1533-position model. The record is from RNAcentral.